UGGCAGCAAUGCCAGACUUAAAAUCGAAAGUGCGCCAACUGAGAAAGUGAAUUGGCUGGUUCGGUCAACGGCCAUUCCUUCGUUAAAUUCACCUGUAUGAUACGUGCCUGCGUUACUACCAACUACAUAUCUAUGCAAUAGAAUAAAAUAAAAUGCCCCAGCAACAGCUGGAAUCAUUAAACUGACAUAGUAAUUGUUGAGAAACCGUUUAUACUCACGCAACUCCGAUAAGGCGAUCCUCGUCCAGGAAGCAAGUAUCAGGAAACCGAUCAGAGUAUUCAUGCUUGCCGUUUUAUCCACGUUUCUUUUACUUUGUACACACUGGACUAUGUGUAUUGUUGUUUUACGUUUAGUGAACUAAUUGUAAUGUUGUCAGUGGCGAUAUUGAAAAUGCGUACGAUGGCCCCAGUAUGCCGGUAUUUAUAAACUACAUGCACUUUCUCCGGUUGUACCCCACUCUUACAAGCACUAGGUGAAUUUAUCACGGUAGAAUGCCCCCUUUUAACUCAGUCAGGGCCGUAACUCCCUGGUACCCCUACUCAAUUAUUGACAAAUCCUUCAUGCCAGACGUCUUCUCGUUAAUUCAUUCCGGAUGGACGUUAGAAUCUCCUCCUUCCGGGAAUUACGAGUAUAGAUGGGAUGUUGAUAAUAACGUGGAUUAUCCAGCCGGCCUUUGUCGCGAUGCUAAUCAAGCCGUUGCAUCGAUACGUCGAUAGGAAUUAUUUUUAAUUAGAAAAGUUUCCUCAUAAAAUAAGUAUAAGGUAUGUCAGAGCCAAACGUCUGAGUCAUCCGGAGAACUUUGGCAGUUGGUACUGAAACGAGGUACGAAGCUGUGGGAAAGUAUGACAGCUGUCUAAAUUGACAGAUAAAUUUUAGCUGUAUACUCAAUAAAGGAGGGAGUAUUAAUAAACAAUAAUUAUAGUAUAUAAUUGUGUAGACUACCUGUGUACAGUGUAAUAGGUGCUAUUUAUAAAUAUAUAAAUAAAGACCUUAAUUAUUACAGUAUAUAAAAACCAGACUUAUUGUCACUCAAUAGGCAGUGUCUUAUACAUCUUGUAAAUCAUUGAAUCAGCCAUUUUUUCACUUAAAGCUUUACUAGCCAAGUCGUCAGCCAACAUGGCGGCUACUGCUUCGGCAGCCAUUAAACCUGUAAAAGAAAGUUACUGUAGUGACAGAGUUUACCGGUGAGCUUGUAGUUUUCCGUUGAUUAUAACAGGUUCCAGGUGAAGAGGAACCCUCAAAGGGU
Cephus cinctus (wheat stem sawfly) is the source of this 1246-nucleotide long non-coding RNA. RefSeq lists it as uncharacterized. Lineage: Eukaryota; Metazoa; Arthropoda; Insecta; Hymenoptera; Cephidae. The transcript is spliced from 3 exons. The record is from RefSeq and is a predicted model, not a curated record.